RNAcentral lists this ribosomal RNA (533 nucleotides) under uncultured bacterium. RNAcentral's name for it is "bacterial SSU rRNA". It matches the Rfam family "Bacterial small subunit ribosomal RNA", at positions 777 to 1304 of the family's 1533-position model. The record is from RNAcentral.
AAUAGAUACCCAGGUAGUCCACGCCGUAAACGAUGAGUGCUAAGUGUUAGAGGGUUUCCGCCCUUUAGUGCUGCAGCAAACGCAUUAAGCACUCCGCCUGGGGAGUACGGCCGCAAAGGCUGAAACUCAAAGGAAGUUGACGGGGACCCGCACAAGCGGUGGAGCAUUGUGGUUUAAUUCGAAGCAACGCGAAGAACCUUACCAGGUCUUGACAUCCUCUGACCAUCCUAGAGAUAGGACCUUCCCCUUCGGGGGACAGAAUGACAGGUGGUGCAUGGUUGUCGUCAGCUUGUGUUGUGAGAUGUUGGGUUAAGUCCCGCAACGAGCGCAACCCUUGUCCUUAGUUGCCAGCAUUCAGGUCGGGCACUCUAAGGAGACUGCCGGUGACAAACCGGAGGAAGGUGGGGAUGACGUCAAAUCAUCAUGCCCCUUAUGACCUGGGCUACACACGUGCUACAAUGGAUGGUACAAAGGGCUGCGAAGCCGCGAGGUGGAGCCAAUCCCAUAAAACCAUUCUCAGUUCGGAUUGCAGG